Molecule: ribosomal RNA, 228 nt
Filed under: uncultured bacterium
Lineage: Bacteria
Description: partial 16S ribosomal RNA
Rfam family: Bacterial small subunit ribosomal RNA
Source: RNAcentral
UACGGAGGGUCACAGCGUUAUCCGGAAUCAUUGGGUUUAAAGGGUCCGUAGGCGGUUUGGUAAGUCAGUGGUGAAAGCCCAUCGCUCAACGGUGGAACGGCCAUUGAUACUGCCAGACUUGAAUUAUUAGGAAGUAACUAGAAUAUGUAGUGUAGCGGUGAAAUGCUUAGAGAUUACAUGGAAUACCGAAUUGCGUAAGGACAAGGUUGAUCUACUAAUGGUGAUUGA